GUAGGUGGCAAGCGUUGUCCGGAAUUAUUGGGCGUAAAGCGCGCGCAGGUGGUUCUUUAAGUCUGAUGUGAAAGCCCCCGGCUCAACCGGGGAGGGUCAUUGGAAACUGGGGAACUUGAGUGCAGGAGAGGAAAGUGGAAUUCCACGUGUAGCGGUGAAAUGCGUAGAUAUGUGGAGGAACACCAGUGGCGAAGGCGACUUUCUGGCCUGUAACUGACACUGAGGCGCGAAAGCGUGGGGAGCAAACAGGGAUUAGAUACCCUGGUAGUCCACGCCGUAAACGAUGAGUGCUAAGUGUUGGGGGGUUUCCCGCCCCUCAGUGCUGCAGCUAACGCAUUAAGCACUCCGCCGUGGGAGUACGGUCGCAAGACUG
This 373-nucleotide ribosomal RNA is filed under the name uncultured organism. RNAcentral describes it as "partial 16S ribosomal RNA". It matches the Rfam family "Bacterial small subunit ribosomal RNA", at positions 527 to 896 of the family's 1533-position model. The record is from RNAcentral.